AGUGGGAUAACUGGGUCAAAUGGUGGCUCCAUUCCAGGUUUUUUGAGGAAUCUCUAUACUGCUUGCCAGAGUGGUUGUACCAAUUUGCAGACCCACAAGCAUU
Molecule: microRNA precursor, 103 nt
Filed under: Marmota monax (woodchuck)
Lineage: Eukaryota; Metazoa; Chordata; Mammalia; Rodentia; Sciuridae
Source: RNAcentral